This is a non-coding RNA of Trichonephila clavipes, 74 nucleotides long. Lineage: Eukaryota; Metazoa; Arthropoda; Arachnida; Araneae; Nephilidae. The record is from the annotation of a GenBank genome assembly.
GUCCCUGUAGCGCAAUGAAUAGCGCGUUGGACUUUUAAUUCAAACGUCGUGAGUUGUAAGUCCCACAUGGGAUG